RNAcentral lists this ribosomal RNA (495 nucleotides) under uncultured bacterium. Its description in RNAcentral is "partial 16S ribosomal RNA". It matches the Rfam family "Bacterial small subunit ribosomal RNA", at positions 28 to 507 of the family's 1533-position model. The record is from RNAcentral.
GAUGAACGCUGGCGGCGUGCCUAAUACAUGCAAGUCGAACGCUGAAGGAGGAGCUUGCUCUUCUGGAUGAGUUGCGAACGGGUGAGUAACGCGUAGGUAACCUGCCUGGUAGCGGGGGAUAACUAUUGGAAACGAUAGCUAAUACCGCAUGACAACAGUUAUUGCAUGAUAACUGUUUAAAAGGGGCAACUGCUCCACUACCAGAUGGACCUGCGUUGUAUUAGCUAGUUGGUGAGGUAACGGCUCACCAAGGCGACGAUACAUAGCCGACCUGAGAGGGGGGUCGGCCACACUGGGACUGAGACACGGCCCAGACUCCUACGGGAGGCAGCAGUAGGGAAUCUUCGGCAAUGGACGGAAGUCUGACCGGGCAACGCCGCGUGAGUGAAGAAGGGUUUCGGAUCGUAAAGCUCGGUUGUAAGAGAAGAAAGAGUGUGAGAGUGGAAAGUUCACACUGUGACGGUAUCUUACCAGAAAGGGACGGCUAACUACGUG